GGUCAAGCUACAAAGGGCGCAUGGCGAAUGCCUUGGCACUAGGAGCCGAAGAAGGACGCGUUAAGCUGCGAUAAGCUUUGGGUAGGCGCAAAUAGCCUGUGAUCCAAAGAUUUCCGAAUGGGGGAACCCACAUAGUAACAACUAUGUACUGCAUACUGAAUAAAUAGGUAUGCAGAGGUAGACCCGGGGAACUGAAACAUCUAAGUACCCGGAGGAAGAGAAAGAAACAUCGAUUUCCUAAGUAGCGGCGAGCGAAAGGGAAAGAGCCCAAACCCAGGUCUUUGAUCUGGGGGUUGAGGAUAGAUCAUAAAUACUGCAAUUCCUUAAUUGAAGAUAGCUGGAAAGCUGCUCCGCAGAAGGUAAUAGGCCUGUAAAUGAAAAGGAAAAACAGUCAGAUCUAAUCCAGAGUACCACGAGACACGUGAAACCUUGUGGGAAGCUGGGAGGACCACCUCCCAAGGCUAAAUACUACCUAGUGACCGAUAGUGAAGAAGUACCGUGAGGGAAAGGUGAAAAGAACCCCGGAAGGGGAGUGAAAUAGAACCUGAAACCGUGUGCCUACAACCGGUCGAAGCACUUUAUAUGUGUGACGGCGUGCUUUUUGUAGAACGAGCCAACGAGUUACGAUAUGUAGCAAGGUUAAGUACUUAAGGUACGGAGCCGAAGGGAAACCAAGUCUGAAUAGGGCGCAUAGUUGCAUGUCGUAGACCCGAAACCGGGUGACCUAUCCAUGGCCAGGAUGAAGCGGAAGUAAAAUUCCGUGGAGGUCCGAACCACGUUGGUGUUGAAAAACCAUGGGAUGAGCUGUGGAUAGCGGAGAAAUUCCAAUCGAACUCGGAGAUAGCUGGUUCUCCUCGAAAUAGCUUUAGGGCUAGCGUCGAUUAAUUGAGUAAUGGAGGUAGAGCACUGAAUGGGCUAGGGGCUGACAACAGUUACUGAACCCUAUCAAACUCCGAAUGCCAUAUACUUUUAUUUCGGCAGUCAGACUGCGAAUGAUAAGAUCCGUAGUCAAAAGGGAAACAGCCCAGACCAUCAGCUAAGGUCCCAAAGUGUAAGUUAAGUGGAAAAGGAUGUGGGAUUUCUAAGACAACUAGGAUGUUGGCUCAGAAGCAGCCACUCAUUUAAAGAGUGCGUAAUAGCUCACUAGUCAAGAGAUCCUGCGCCGAAGAUGUCCGGGGCUAAAACUUACCACCGAAGCUAUGGGUGUACACAAUUGUGUACGCGGUAGAGGAGCUUUCUGUACUGGCUGAAGUCAUACCGUAAGGAGUGGUGGACGGUACAGAAGUGAGAAUGUUGGCAUGAGUAGCGAGAGUUAAGUGAGAAUCUUAACGGUCGAAAACCUAAGGUUUCCUGAGGAAGGCUCGUCCUCUCAGGGUUAGUCGGGACCUAAGCCGAGGCCGAAAGGCGUAGGUGAUGGACAAUCGGUUGAUAUUCCGAUACCACCAAUGGACGUUAUUAGAAAUGGGAUGACGCAGGAGGAUAAGAUGUGCACACUAUUGGAUGUGUGUCUAAGCAUUUAGGCGGAGCA
RNAcentral lists this ribosomal RNA (1528 nucleotides) under Clostridium sp. CF011. RNAcentral describes it as "partial 23S ribosomal RNA". It matches the Rfam family "Bacterial large subunit ribosomal RNA", at positions 1 to 1531 of the family's 2925-position model. RNAcentral also lists the same sequence under 1 other name. The record is from RNAcentral. Lineage: Bacteria; Bacillati; Bacillota; Clostridia; Eubacteriales; Clostridiaceae.